UGCGUAGGCGGGGCAAUUAGUCAGUGGUGAAAUCCUGCGGCUUAACCGUAGAACUGCCAUUGAUACUGUUGCCCUUGAGUAUAGUUGUGGUGGGCGGAAUGUGUAAUGUAGCGGUGAAAUGCAUAGAGAUUACACAGAACACCAAUUGCGAAGGCAGCUCACUAAGCUAUAACUGACGCUGAGGCACGAAAGCGUGGGGAGCGAACAGGAUUAGAUACCCUGGUAGUCC
RNAcentral lists this ribosomal RNA (229 nucleotides) under uncultured bacterium. RNAcentral describes it as "partial 16S ribosomal RNA". It matches the Rfam family "Bacterial small subunit ribosomal RNA", at positions 568 to 796 of the family's 1533-position model. The record is from RNAcentral.